CCUAAUUCCUCACUGCCUCACAAGGCAUGACCUUGUGCCUUCACGGGAAUCAGUUCACGACUUCACCGCUUCAAGGCUUCACUCUUCAGACUUCAGUGCCUUGUGGCUUGUGCCUCUCGUCUCUCUAGUCUCUCACUCUCCCUCAGACGGUCCGACCUCCAUCCCUCUCUCCCUCUCGCCUCUCAGCUUUCUCAGUCUCGUCUCGCUAGCUCGAUGCCGUAGCCGGAGGUCGGAGUCAGUCACUCAAGCUUCGUCCACUCGUCUAGUUCUGGCAUCUUUGAGCGGUUUCCUGGGAUACUUCAUGAAGGAGAGAUAGAUAAAAGGGUUCAGUUCCUAAUUGAAGGCCUCUUUGCAUUAAGUAAAGCUAAGUUUCAGUGCCCAAAGUUAAACAAGGAUUGAAGAGCUGUUACAGGAGGACCAUCAUGUAAAACACAUGAGGGAAAACUUUCAGAAGUCAGAAACAAUCUUCUCUUCUUUCAAAACUUACUAGACAACUCAGUAUCCAUGAUGAUCGAGCAACUGCCGCCUCCAACUACUCAAAUGGUGAAAUAGGUAAAUGUUAGGCUUAAUAUUCUUUCCGGUUCUGAUCUCCACAUUUAGUGUGUUUCGAAUGGGCAGAUUGUGUAUCAAGUUAUAUACAGUAGGUAUGCAUUUGAUUAGAACUUUGUGAACAAUUUAGACUUUGUGAUUGGAAGUAGAUGAUGGAUUCUUGUGUAUUUUGAAAUACUUUAUUGUAUUUUGAAGUAGAUGAUGGAUUCUUGUGUAUUUUGAAAUACUUUACAUACUAGUAAAAGAUGAUUAUACUAAUGAAUUAAUGC
This is a long non-coding RNA of Ipomoea triloba (trilobed morning glory), 818 nucleotides long. RefSeq lists it as uncharacterized. The record is from RefSeq and is a predicted model, not a curated record. NCBI's taxonomy places the organism in Eukaryota, Viridiplantae, Streptophyta, Magnoliopsida, Solanales, Convolvulaceae. The transcript has 3 exons.